Molecule: ribosomal RNA, 1425 nt
Filed under: Petrotoga sp. SL27
Lineage: Bacteria; Thermotogati; Thermotogota; Thermotogae; Petrotogales; Petrotogaceae
Description: bacterial SSU rRNA
Rfam family: Bacterial small subunit ribosomal RNA
Source: RNAcentral
AGGAUGAAGGGUUUGAUCCUGGCUCAGGGUUAACGCUGGCGGCGUGCGUAACACAUGCAAGUCGAACGGGCCAUUACUCUUUGGAGUGAUGGUUAGUGGCGAACGGGUGAGUAAAAGGUAGGGACCUACCCCGAGGACAGAGAUAGCUACUGGAAACGGUAGGUAAACUCUGAUAAGCCCGAGAGGGGAAAGUGGAAGGCAGCCUUGGGAUGGACCUACUAUCCAUCAGGUAGUUGGUGAGGUAAAGGCUCACCAAGCCGAUGACGGAUAACCGGUGUGAGAGCAUGUACGGUCACAAGGGCACUGAGACACGGGCCCUACUCCUACGGGAGGCAGCAGUGGGGAAUAUUGGACAAUGGGCGAAAGCCUGAUCCAGCGACGCCGCGUGAAGGAAGAAGUCCUUCGGGAUGUAAACUUCUGAACUAAUCGAAUAAAAGGGUAGUGGACACACUACAGAAGAAGGUAGAUUAGGAAAAGUCCCGGCUAACUACGUGCCAGCAGCCGCGGUAAGACGUAGGGGGCGAGCGUUGCCCGGAAUCACUGGGUGUAAAGGGGACGUAGGCGGAUGAUCAAGUCAUCUGUGAAAAGAUUGCUCAACGAUUGGCUUGCGGAUGAAACUGGUCAUCUUGGGCGUAGCAGAGGUAGACGGAAUUACCUGAGUAGGGGUGAAAUCCGCAGAUACAGGUAAGAACGCCGGUGAAGAAGUUGGUCUACUAGGCUACAGCUGACGCUGAGGUCCGAAAGCCAGGGGAGCGAACCGGAUUAGAUACCCGGGUAGUCCUGGCUGUAAACGAUGCUCACUAGGUGUAGGGAGCGAAAGACUCUCUGUGCUGAAGCUAACGCGAUAAGUGAGCCACCUGGGGAGUACGUCCGCAAGGAUGAAACUCAAAGGAAUUGACGGGGGUCCGCACAAGCGGUGGAGCAUGUGGUUUAAUUCGAAGCUAACCGAAGAACCUUACCAGGGAUUGACAUGUAACUGAAGGUAGAGAAAUCUACUGGCCUGCCGUGAGGUAGGAGGUUACACAGGUGGUGCACGGUCGUCGUCAGCUCGUGCCGUGAGGUGUUGGGUUAAGUCCCACAACGAGCGCAACCCCUACAAUUAGUUACCAGCAAGUAAAGUUGGGGACACUAAUUGGACAGCCGCCGACGAGGCGGAGGAAGGAGGGGAUGACGUCAGAUAAGCGUGCCCCUUAUACUCUGGGCGACACACGUGCUACAAUGGGGAGGACAAAGGGAAGCGAAGCCGAGAGGUGGAGCGGAUCCGAAAAAACUCUCCGUAAUAUGGAUUGUAGGCUGAAACUCGCCUACAUGAAGCUGGAAUCGCUAGUAAUCGCAGGUCAGCCAAACUGCGGUGAAUACGUUCCCGGGCCUUGUACACACCGCCCGUCACGCCACCCGAGUUGGGAACACCUGAAGGCAGUACGG